This 108-nucleotide small nucleolar RNA is filed under the name Neolentinus lepideus HHB14362 ss-1. RNAcentral's name for it is "Small nucleolar RNA Z13/snr52". It matches the Rfam family "Small nucleolar RNA Z13/snr52". From Rfam's summary of the family: Z13 or snr52 is a member of the C/D class of snoRNA which contain the C (UGAUGA) and D (CUGA) box motifs. Most of the members of the box C/D family function in directing site-specific 2'-O-methylation of substrate RNAs. Lineage: Eukaryota; Fungi; Basidiomycota; Agaricomycetes; Gloeophyllales; Gloeophyllaceae. The record is from Rfam by way of RNAcentral.
UGUAGCACUGUGAUGAAGCACUACGGAUGUAAAACAAGCUCAAAGCUGUUGUCCGAGAGCGCAUAUAUCCAUGUGGAUCUCUCCGUUGCCUUCCUUCUGAGACUUGAA